This 1125-nucleotide ribosomal RNA is filed under the name Acinetobacter baumannii. Its description in RNAcentral is "bacterial SSU rRNA". It matches the Rfam family "Bacterial small subunit ribosomal RNA", at positions 11 to 1130 of the family's 1533-position model. Lineage: Bacteria; Pseudomonadati; Pseudomonadota; Gammaproteobacteria; Moraxellales; Moraxellaceae. The record is from RNAcentral.
GUUUGAUCAUGGCUCAGAUUGAACGCUGGCGGCAGGCUUAACACAUGCAAGUCGAGCGGGGGAAGGUAGCUUGCUACUGGACCUAGCGGCGGACGGGUGAGUAAUGCUUAGGAAUCUGCCUAUUAGUGGGGGACAACAUCUCGAAAGGGAUGCUAAUACCGCAUACGUCCUACGGGAGAAAGCAGGGGAUCUUCGGACCUUGCGCUAAUAGAUGAGCCUAAGUCGGAUUAGCUAGUUGGUGGGGUAAAGGCCUACCAAGGCGACGAUCUGUAGCGGGUCUGAGAGGAUGAUCCGCCACACUGGGACUGAGACACGGCCCAGACUCCUACGGGAGGCAGCAGUGGGGAAUAUUGGACAAUGGGGGGAACCCUGAUCCAGCCAUGCCGCGUGUGUGAAGAAGGCCUUAUGGUUGUAAAGCACUUUAAGCGAGGAGGAGGCUACUUUAGUUAAUACCUAGAGAUAGUGGACGUUACUCGCAGAAUAAGCACCGGCUAACUCUGUGCCAGCAGCCGCGGUAAUACAGAGGGUGCGAGCGUUAAUCGGAUUUACUGGGCGUAAAGCGUGCGUAGGCGGCUUAUUAAGUCGGAUGUGAAAUCCCCGAGCUUAACUUGGGAAUUGCAUUCGAUACUGGUGAGCUAGAGUAUGGGAGAGGAUGGUAGAAUUCCAGGUGUAGCGGUGAAAUGCGUAGAGAUCUGGAGGAAUACCGAUGGCGAAGGCAGCCAUCUGGCCUAAUACUGACGCUGAGGUACGAAAGCAUGGGGAGCAAACAGGAUUAGAUACCCUGGUAGUCCAUGCCGUAAACGAUGUCUACUAGCCGUUGGGGCCUUUGAGGCUUUAGUGGCGCAGCUAACGCGAUAAGUAGACCGCCUGGGGAGUACGGUCGCAAGACUAAAACUCAAAUGAAUUGACGGGGGCCCGCACAAGCGGUGGAGCAUGUGGUUUAAUUCGAUGCAACGCGAAGAACCUUACCUGGCCUUGACAUACUAGAAACUUUCCAGAGAUGGAUUGGUGCCUUCGGGAAUCUAGAUACAGGUGCUGCAUGGCUGUCGUCAGCUCGUGUCGUGAGAUGUUGGGUUAAGUCCCGCAACGAGCGCAACCCUUUUCCUUACUUGCCAGCAUUUCGGA